Long non-coding RNA from Sinocyclocheilus grahami, 246 nucleotides. RefSeq lists it as uncharacterized. The transcript is spliced from 3 exons. NCBI's taxonomy places the organism in Eukaryota, Metazoa, Chordata, Actinopteri, Cypriniformes, Cyprinidae. The record is from RefSeq and is a predicted model, not a curated record.
UGAAAUCGAGUGCGUAAUGAACAGGAAGAAGCAAAGGACACCGGAAUAUGCGGCAAGACUGCAGCAAGCGCUCAUGGUACUGUGUUCAGAUGAAGUAAAGUGGCCGGCUCAGACAGACUCUUUCAGGUGGACACAACUGGGAUCCUUCUUGGCCAUAUCCUCUUUUUCAGUAUCGGGCAAAGGUUGUGCAAGGGUUUCUGGGAGAAGGAAAGCGAAGAUCCCACUGACGAUUGGAGCCCCUCCAUA